This 397-nucleotide ribosomal RNA is filed under the name uncultured bacterium. RNAcentral describes it as "partial 16S ribosomal RNA". It matches the Rfam family "Bacterial small subunit ribosomal RNA", at positions 523 to 918 of the family's 1533-position model. The record is from RNAcentral.
AUACGUAGGGGGCAAGCGUUAUCCGGAUUUACUGGGCGUAAAGGGCGUGUAGGCGGUCUUGCAAGUCAGAAGUGAAAUUCCUGAGCUCAACUCGGGCGCUGCUUCUGAAACUGCAGGACUUGAGUGCUGGAGGGGAUAGCGGAAUUCCUAGUGGAGCGGUAAAAUGCGCAGAUAUUAGGAAGAACACCGGUGGCGAAGGCGGCUAUCUGGACAGUAACUGACGCUGAGGCGCGAAAGCGUGGGGAGCAAACAGGAUUAGAUACCCUGGUAGUCCACGCUGUAAACGAUGAGUACUAGGUGUAGGGGGUAUCGACUCCCUCUGUGCCGCAGUUAACACAAUAAGUAUUCCGCCUGGGGAGUACGGCCGCAAGGUUGAAACUCAAAUGAAUUGACGGGG